GCCUUGAUGGUAAAAUGGUAGACACGCGAGACUCAGAAUCUCGUGCUAAUAAGCGUGGAGGUUCGAGUCCUCUUCAAGGUA
Molecule: transfer RNA, 81 nt
Organism: Oryza sativa Japonica Group (Japanese rice)
Lineage: Eukaryota; Viridiplantae; Streptophyta; Magnoliopsida; Poales; Poaceae
Rfam family: tRNA
About the family: Transfer RNA (tRNA) molecules are approximately 80 nucleotides in length.
Source: Rfam